AACGAACGCUGGCGGCAUGCCUAACACAUGCCAGUCGAACGAGACCUUCGGGUCUAGUGGCGCACGGGUGCGUAACGCGUGGGAAUCUGCCCUUGGGUUCGGAAUAACAGUGAGAAAUUACUGCUAAUACCGGAUGAUGUCUUCGGACCAAAGAUUUAUCGCCCAGGGAUGAGCCCGCGUAGGAUUAGCUAGUUGGUGGGGUAAUGGCCUACCAAGGCGACGAUCCUUAGCUGGUCUGAGAGGAUGAUCAGCCACACUGGGACUGAGACACGGCCCAGACUCCUACGGGAGGCAGCAGUGGGGAAUAUUGGACAAUGGGCGCAAGCCUGAUCCAGCAAUGCCGCGUGAGUGAUGAAGGCCUUAGGGUUGUAAAGCUCUUUUACCCGGGAUGAUAAUGACAGUACCGGGAGAAUAAGCGCCGGCUAACUCCGUG
This 433-nucleotide ribosomal RNA is filed under the name uncultured bacterium. RNAcentral describes it as "partial 16S ribosomal RNA". It matches the Rfam family "Bacterial small subunit ribosomal RNA", at positions 29 to 507 of the family's 1533-position model. The record is from RNAcentral.